Molecule: non-coding RNA, 30 nt
Filed under: Mus musculus (house mouse)
Lineage: Eukaryota; Metazoa; Chordata; Mammalia; Rodentia; Muridae
Source: RNAcentral
GUCACAAACUCAUGAUAAUCCUCCUAACUC